This 247-nucleotide ribosomal RNA is filed under the name uncultured bacterium. Its description in RNAcentral is "partial 16S ribosomal RNA". It matches the Rfam family "Bacterial small subunit ribosomal RNA", at positions 113 to 354 of the family's 1533-position model. The record is from RNAcentral.
CAACGUGGGUAACCUGCCCAAGAGACUGGGAUAACACCUGGAAACAGAUGCUAAUACCGGAUAACAACACUAGACGCAUGUCUAGAGUUUAAAAGAUGGUUCUGCUAUCACUCUUGGAUGGACCUGCGGUGCAUUAGCUAGUUGGUAAGGUAACGGCUUACCAAGGCAAUGACGCAUAGCCGAGUUGAGAGACUGAUCGGCCACAUUGGGACUGAGACACGGCCCAAACUCCUACGGAAGGCAGCAG